Molecule: ribosomal RNA, 434 nt
Filed under: uncultured bacterium
Lineage: Bacteria
Description: bacterial SSU rRNA
Rfam family: Bacterial small subunit ribosomal RNA
Source: RNAcentral
AACGCGAAGAACCUUACCAAGUCUUGACAUCCCAAUGACCGGAACUUAACCGUUCCUUCCCUACGGGGCAUUGGAGACAGGUGGUGCAUGGUUGUCGUCAGCUCGUGUCGUGAGAUGUUGGGUUAAGUCCCGCAACGAGCGCAACCCUUAUCCUUAGUAGCCAGCAGUUCGGCUGGGCACUCUAGGGAGACUGCCAGGGAUAACCUGGAGGAAGGUGGGGAUGACGUCAAAUCAUCAUGCCCCUUAUGAUUUGGGCUACACACGUGCUGCAAUGGCGUAAACAAAGGGAAGCGACCCCGCGAGGGCAAGCAAAUCUCAAAAAUAACGUCUCAGUUCGGAUUGCAGGCUGCAACUCGCCUGCAUGAAGCUGGAAUCGCUAGUAAUCGCGAAUCAGAAUGUCGCGGUGAAUACGUUCCCGGGUCUUGUACACACCG